UACGUAGGGGGCAAGCGUUAUCCGGAUUUACUGGGUGUAAAGGGAGCGUAGACGGCGCUGCAAGUCCGGAGUGAAAGCCCAUGGCUUAACCAUGGUACUGCUCUGGAAACUGUGGAGCCUGAGUGCGGGAGGGGCAGGCGGAAUUCCUAGUGUAGCGGUGAAAUGCGUAGAUAUUAGGAGGAACACCGGCGGCGAAGGCGGCCUGCUGGACCGUAACUGACGUUGAGGCUCGAAAGCGUGGGGAGCAAACAGG
RNAcentral lists this ribosomal RNA (253 nucleotides) under uncultured bacterium. RNAcentral describes it as "partial 16S ribosomal RNA". It matches the Rfam family "Bacterial small subunit ribosomal RNA", at positions 524 to 776 of the family's 1533-position model. The record is from RNAcentral.